CCAUUUCUCAUAGCCAUUCAUGAACACAUCAAAUAGAUCAUUUUGCAUCACAUUUCAUAUACCAAAAUCAAAACAUAAAUACAACCAUAUCAAGCCAUAUCACAUAUCUAAAUAUAAUUACAAAUUCUAUCCAAAGUACUUCUAGCCUAUACAUUCCAUACUUUACUAUAUACAUUUUCAAAAGGUACUAAAAUGAGAUUCGAUAGUGUGGUGACGAUCCUCAAUAAUCCAUAAGGUCACGGUAGCUUCGAUAUCUAUAAUACAAUACAAACACACACAAAGUAAGCUUUCAAAAGCUUAGUAAGCCAUAUACAAAUAAACAUAUCAUUUAAAGCAUAUAAACAUUGUACAGGCCCAAUUUUGCCCGGCCCGUUUAAAUAAAAACCCAAAAAAAUAUAAUAUAAGCAGUCCACUUACAAAGAGUUUUAGCCCAAUUAUAAACCCAUUAACCUAAACCACUAACCCAUUACAGAUUAGGCCUGUUAGCCUAAGACCUAAACUCAUGUUUAGGAAAAUGAAACCCUAGCUCACCCUUGCACCCUACCCCCUCCCAUGUGCGCCCUGGGCAUGUACGGCGCCUGAGGUUCAGCCCUCCAGUCCCCCGUCGCACCAAAGCGGCCAUGUACGUCCCGUUGACCUUCAUGCGAUUGCAAAAGAGAGCAAAAAAGGAAAAGAAACAAGACCACAAGGCAGAGAGCAGAGACAAGGCAAAAAAAAAAGAAGCAAAAAUAAAUAAUAGUAAUAACAAAUCAUUUUUUUCGACUAUAAAAGCCCCGAAGAAAUAGAUUGUAUUUUUUACGCAAAAAAAAUUACCAAAACGAAUAGAGAGAAAUCAAAAAAUAUUAAAAGGUGAUCCAUUUGUUCUUUUUUUUUAUUUUUAUUUUGAAUUUAUUAUGCAAAUACAAGAAAAAGAAAAAGUUUUUUUUACCUGUUGCUUGGUGUCGCCUAAGUCGGUUCUUGCUUCUCUAACCCAAAGGCAGACGGAUCCUUGGGGAUCCGGUCAGAGCCACGACGGAGGAGACUGAAACCCGAACGGUCUUCUAACUUUUGAGCCUUUUUUGUAAAGAUUUAGGAAACUUUGGGCUAGGAUUUGGGUUCUGGAGGGCUGAAAGGUUUAAAACGAGGCCUCUUUUGCGAUUCUCGGCCACCGGGCACGGUGGAACUCACCGCCGGCGAUCGGUGGCCAUCAUGG
RNAcentral lists this long non-coding RNA (1192 nucleotides) under Gossypium barbadense (sea-island cotton). Its description in RNAcentral is "long non-coding RNA (GBAR_LNC007181)". The record is from RNAcentral. Lineage: Eukaryota; Viridiplantae; Streptophyta; Magnoliopsida; Malvales; Malvaceae.